RNAcentral lists this long non-coding RNA (620 nucleotides) under Triticum aestivum (bread wheat). RNAcentral's name for it is "long non-coding RNA (TAES_LNC005932)". The record is from RNAcentral. Lineage: Eukaryota; Viridiplantae; Streptophyta; Magnoliopsida; Poales; Poaceae.
UUCCCCAAUCUCUCUCCCCCUCCGCCGCCACCCCCUCGUCUUGUCACUCCUCCUAGAUCUGCUCCUCUCUCGCUCCUCCUUGAUCCCCACCUAGAUUCGCUCCUCUCUCCCUCCACUAUCCCCACCUAGAUUCGCUCCUCUCUCGCUUCUCCUCGAUGCCGAUUUUUUAGAGCAAGCAGAUUGGAUCGAUGGUGACCGCAUGAGCGUGCCGCCGCCGCAUGGAAUCGCCUUGCCGCUGCGUGGAGUCGCUUUGUCGCCGCCGCUCGUUGCCACUUGCCAGCAAGGUAACUUCGUCCCAACCACUUCUCACCUCCAGGUCCUCUCAUGCUGCUGCUUGUCGUGGUCGUCUUGUCCGCUGGGCGCUUGCUUCCUACUAACAUACUACAUGUGUGCUUGCUGCUGCCGUAGUACAUGCGUGCUUGUUGUUUCUGUAGUACAUACGUGGUUGCUAGGUGAUGGGUUGCAUGCUUGCGUGAUUGAUUUCCUUCAUCUUGCAGGUGCACACACGCACCUAACAUCCAGGGAAGUCCACCAUCUGAACCACCACGACCAUCCCUCUUGGCUAGCACAAGCAGCGCUAUUGGCACUUCGGAAGUGAAGGCAAGCAGCCAAGAACUGUA